This 460-nucleotide ribosomal RNA is filed under the name uncultured bacterium. Its description in RNAcentral is "partial 16S ribosomal RNA". It matches the Rfam family "Bacterial small subunit ribosomal RNA", at positions 338 to 795 of the family's 1533-position model. The record is from RNAcentral.
CCUACGGGUGGCAGCAGUGAGGAAUAUUGGUCGAUGGACGAGAGUCUGAACCAGCCAAGUAGCGUGAAGGAUGACUGCCCUAUGGGUUGUAAACUUCUUUUAUAUGGGAAUAAAAUGCUCUACGUGUGGGAUUUUGUAUGUACCAUAUGAAUAAGGAUCGGCUAACUCCGUGCCAGCAGCCGCGGUAAUACGGAGGAUCCGAGCGUUAUCCGGAUUUAUUGGGUUUAAAGGGUGCGUAGGUGGAUUGUUAAGUCAGUUGUGAAAGUUUGCGGCUCAACCGUAGAAUUGCAGUUGAAACUGGCAGUCUUGAGUACAGUAGAGGUAGGCGGAAUUCGUGGUGUAGCGGUGAAAUGCUUAGAUAUCACGAAGAACUCCGAUUGCGAAGGCAGUUCACUGGACUGCAACUGACACUGAGGCUCGAAAGUGUGGGUAUCAAACAGGAUUAGAUACCCCAGUAGUC